RNAcentral lists this unclassified non-coding RNA (203 nucleotides) under soil metagenome. RNAcentral's name for it is "partial contains 5.8S ribosomal RNA, internal transcribed spacer 2, and large subunit ribosomal RNA". The record is from RNAcentral.
AACAUCGCGCACCUGCGGGAACCUGCGGAGGGAUCAUUAAAGAGUUGCAAGACUCCCACACAACACCCUCGCGAACGUUACCCCAGACGUCGUUGCUUCGGCGGGCCCUGCCCGCCGGGGGGACGACCUACCAGACCCUUUGCAGUUCUCCGGCCUCUCUGAGUAUGAUUUUUCAAUAAGUCAAAACUUUUAGCAACGGAUCU